Molecule: long non-coding RNA, 1568 nt
Filed under: Monodelphis domestica (gray short-tailed opossum)
Lineage: Eukaryota; Metazoa; Chordata; Mammalia; Didelphimorphia; Didelphidae
Description: lncRNA (ENSMODG00000038611.1)
Source: RNAcentral
GGUCUUAGCAAAAAAUGCUAUCCACAUCCAGAAAAAUAAUUGAUGGAGUCUGAAUGCCAACCAAGGUGGUUUGUAAUGAUCAUUUGGAACAAGAUUCAGAAGGCUCCUGCUACUGUGCUGCCAUCUUGGAUUCAUCUUCAAGAAUCUCAUUUUGAAAUUGGCAAUUUAAGGAGUUAUUUUGCUUCUCCAACUUGCUAUUUCUUGGAACAUAAAAAAUAUGAUUUCUAUAAAGGAUACUGUAUAUAAAUAUGUUAAUAUUUAUUUUAUUUGAAAGAAUAACUUCCUUUAUCAACAGAAACACAUACUUAAAGCAAGAUUGAUUUGAUCUUAAAUAAUUAGAUCAUGAUCAAUUUUUUUUUUCUUCCUAUAUGCUCUUGGCCUAUUUCCUGCACAUGUCAACAUUGACUUUAACUCUAAGACUCAGGAUUCUUUGUUUUUAAAUUUAACUUGUAAUUAGAGGCUUCCUUAAACUAAUAACAUCUGUUUUAUUUGUUAACCUUUAAUUCUAACGACAAUUAUGAAACAAAAAAUUCCCUGAUGUUUAGCUACUUCUCAUGAGAUUCAUUAUCAUGAAAAUAUGUAUUUAAAUUUCCUAACAAAUGAUUUUGCCUACUCAUUCUUAAUAACAUUUGCAAAAUACUUUUAAUUUCUUCAGUACAUUUUUGUUUUUGUUUUUAAAUCAUCCUUGGAGAAAGACAGAUAUAGUGUCAAAAUUAAGGUGUAUUAAUUGAUGCAUCUUUCAAAAUAUAACUUAGUUAUUACCUAUUGUCUAAAUUAUCUCAGUUCUCCCAGUUACUAAAUUUCUCACACUUUUCUUUCAUGUAGAUUUUACUUUUAUGUAACUAUUUUUAUGUUUUUCUUCAGCAGAGGAGAAUACAAUGUUACUAACAAUAGCUGUGAUUUCCAUAGAACUUUAGAAUCACAAAAGAAUUUUAAAUAGCUAAAAUUUUGCUAUUUUUAUAGAUAAGUAAAUAGAAUCUCAGAAAGAUUAUGUCACUUGUUGAAAGUGUCUGAGGCAGGACUCAAACACAGCUCUCCCUGAAUCAAACCAAGUGCUAUCUGGCUUUAAUAGAGUGAGUUCAAUUGUUUCAAGUCAGCUGGUAUCAUUUAAUAUUUAUUGGAUUAAAAUAUAUUGACUUCAAUUGAAAAUCAACCUAAGUAUCCCCUAUAUUCAUGUGGGGGAAGAUGUGGCACAAGUGCUCUGGGGUCACAGAGGGGGUUGCUCCUUUCCCCGUCUCCACAAAACCUGAGGAUAUUUUUUGCAUAUCCCACCCCUCUAUACAGGAGACCAUUUCAAGCACCUCCUCCCUUCCCUCUCUUGGGUAAUAUGGGUUGGGAGUGGGACUCAAAGGUGGUUUGUCAGUGCAAUAUGGCUUCCCAUCUUUAAAAGUUUCGCCAACACUGCCCUAUAUCUCUCUCUCCAGUAGCCAUCCUGAUUCUGUGUGAAAGGUUUUUCAAGUGUAAUCUUCUGAAUUCCUCAAACAAGAAACCUUGGAGGCAGUUGAACAAUUGAAAAUAAUUUCCCAAUAUAGAAUAAACUAGAAUUUACACCGAUUUUAAAAUCUACA